GAGAGUGGAAUUCCCGGUGGAGCGGUGGAAUGCGUAGAUAUUGGGAGGAACACCAGUGGCGAAGGCGAUUCUCUGGUCUGUAACUGACGCUGAGGCGCGAAAGCUAGGGGAGCAAACAGGAUUAGAUACCCUGGUAGUCCUAGCUGUAAACGAUGGGCACUAGGUGUGGGAGGUAUCGACCCCUUCCGUGCCGGAGUUAACGCAUUAAGUGCCCCGCCUGGGGAGUACGGUCGCAAGAUUGAAACUCAAAGGAAUUGACGGGGGCCCGCACAAGCAGUGGAGCAUGUGGUUUAAUUCGAGGCUACGCGAAGAACCUUACCUGGGUUUGACAUCCCCUGAUGUAUCGGUGAAAGCCGAUUUCCCUUUUGGGCAGGGAGACAGGUGCUGCAUGGUUGUCGUCAGCUCGUGUCGUGAGAUGUUGGGUUAAGUCCCGCAACGAGCGCAACCCUUGUCCUGUGUUACCAUCAUUAAGUUGGGGACUCACAGGAGACUGCCGGAGAUAAUCCGGAGGAAGGC
This 516-nucleotide ribosomal RNA is filed under the name uncultured Bacillota bacterium. RNAcentral's name for it is "bacterial SSU rRNA". It matches the Rfam family "Bacterial small subunit ribosomal RNA", at positions 657 to 1174 of the family's 1533-position model. Lineage: Bacteria; Bacillati; Bacillota. The record is from RNAcentral.